RNAcentral lists this ribosomal RNA (825 nucleotides) under feces metagenome. RNAcentral describes it as "bacterial SSU rRNA". It matches the Rfam family "Bacterial small subunit ribosomal RNA", at positions 518 to 1357 of the family's 1533-position model. The record is from RNAcentral.
CGGUGAUACGUAGGGUGCGAGCGUUGUCCGGAUUUAUUGGGCGUAAAGAGCUUGUAGGCGGUUUGUCACGUCGGGAGUGAAAACUCAGUGCUUAACACUGAGCCUGGACUUGAGGAAGGUAGGGGAGAAUGGAAUUCCUGGUGGAGCGGUGGAAUGCGCAGAUAUCAGGAGGAACACCAGUGGCGAAGGCGGUUCUCUGGACCUUUCCUGACGCUGAGAAGCGAAAGCGUGGGGAGCAAACAGGCUUAGAUACCCUGGUAGUCCACGCCGUAAACGGUGGGUACUAGGUGUGGGGGACAUUCCACGUUCUCCGUGCCGCAGCUAACGCAUUAAGUACCCCGCCUGGGGAGUACGGCCGCAAGGCUAAAACUCAAAGGAAUUGACGGGGCCCCGCACAAGCGGCGGAGCAUGCGGAUUAAUUCGAUGCAACGCGAAGAACCUUACCUGGGUUUGACAUAUACCGGAAACACUCAGAGAUGGGUGCCCCUUUUGGUCGGUAUACAGGUGGUGCAUGGCUGUCGUCAGCUCGUGUCGUGAGAUGUUGGGUUAAGUCCCGCAACGAGCGCAACCCUCGUCCAAUGUUGCCAGCGGGUAAUGCCGGGGACUCAUUGGAGACCGCCGGGGUCAACUCGGAGGAAGGUGGGGAUGACGUCAAGUCAUCAUGCCCCUUAUGUCCAGGGCUUCACGCAUGCUACAAUGGCCGGUACAAAGGGCUGCGAACCUGCAAGGGUAAGCGAAUCCCAAAAAGCCGGUCUCAGUUCGGAUUGGGGUCUGCAACUCGACCCCAUGAAGUCGGAGUCGCUAGUAAUCGCAGAUCAGCAACGC